UCUGUUCCUUUUUUUCCCUCCGCCUCGGUAAUACGUAGGGGGCAAGCGUUAUCCGGAAUUACUGGGUGUAAAGGGUGCGUAGGUGGUAUGGCAAGUCAGAAGUGAAAACCCAGGGCUUAACUCUGGGACUGCUUUUGAAACUGUCAGACUGGAGUGCAGGAGAGGUAAGCGGAAUUCCUAGUGUAGCGGUGAAAUGCGUAGAUAUUAGGAGGAACAUCAGUGGCGAAGGCGGCUUACUGGACUGAAACUGACACUGAGGCACGAAAGCGUGGGGAGCAAACAGG
RNAcentral lists this ribosomal RNA (284 nucleotides) under Anaerostipes hadrus ATCC 29173 = JCM 17467. RNAcentral's name for it is "Anaerostipes hadrus DSM 3319 partial 16S ribosomal RNA". It matches the Rfam family "Bacterial small subunit ribosomal RNA", at positions 493 to 776 of the family's 1533-position model. The record is from RNAcentral. Lineage: Bacteria; Bacillati; Bacillota; Clostridia; Lachnospirales; Lachnospiraceae.